Long non-coding RNA from Felis catus (domestic cat), 1288 nucleotides. RefSeq lists it as uncharacterized. NCBI's taxonomy places the organism in Eukaryota, Metazoa, Chordata, Mammalia, Carnivora, Felidae. The transcript has 4 exons. The record is from RefSeq and is a predicted model, not a curated record.
UGCCCACCCACAAUCUCCUUGGCUCAGGCUUUACUGUCUAAAACCUGCUAUGCAAAAGUCCUCCAUUGUGAGAUCAGAGCCAACCUAGAAGUUUCAAGUGAAAACAGUUUUAAAUCACUGUUAUGGUUAAAUUGUGUCCCUGCUCCCUCCCCUCCCCCUCCCCCCCCAGCCAAAUUUGUAUGUUAAAGCCCUAACCCUGAGGACCUCAGAAUGUGAGUGUAUGUGGAGAUGGGGCCUUUAAAGAGAGGGAAUUAAGUUAAAAUGAGGCUGUUAGGGUGGGCUCUAAUCCCAUCUGACUUAUUAGAGGAUAUUAGGACACAAACAAGCAUGUGCAGAGGGAAGACCAUGUGAGGUCACAGCAAGAUGGUAGCCAUUGCAAGCCAAGGAGAGGGACCUCAUAAGACACCUUGACCUUGGACUUUCUGACUCCAGAACUAACUUUCCAAAGAGAAGAAGUGGAAGAAAAAGAAGGUUGCCCGAGUCACUUCCCAGACCCUCUGUUGAUGGCAGCGGAAGCCCAGGAAAAUCCUAACCCUGCUGACCACCUAUAAAAUGGUCUUGACCAUGGCAACCUCACUCACUAAUGACAUGUGGCCCAAUCAACUUCUCAGACACAAUGGUAGGUGCUGUGGAUGGGACCAAGACUUGAAUCCUGUCCCUAACGGUGAAAGGGUAGUGGAGAUAUGAAAGGGAAAACCACCAUAAUAAAGGAGGAGACUGACAUUUUCUCUUCAAAUGGCUGAUAUUUGAACAAAAGAUGGAAAAAACUGGUUCCAGGUUCUUCAACUCUUCCUCCUUGGAAGCAGGCACUGAAGUCUUCCCAGCUCCCUGCUUGAACUGCAGGAAGGGAAAAAUUGGGGAGGAACAAAUACAAAUCAAUCUUUUAACAUAUUAUCCUUCUACAGUCUUUACCAACCAGUAGGACUCAACCCAGAGAGAUUAAUUUACAGGAAUGCUCUCUACAUUUAUUGAGCAACAUUUAUUUCACAUUUCUGAUAUACAAUGCAGUGUGCCUGCUACUGCGGAUACAGCCAUGUGAAACACUGCAUUAUUGACCCUAGGUCUUCACCGAUCCCUGUGUUUGCAUCCUCUGCAGUGUAACUUUGCAGUUGCCCCUGCUAAAGGCAGAGUGUAUGUUCCCACUCCACUGAGAUCAGGCUUGGCCAUGUGGCUCACUUUAGUCAAUGGAGUGUGGACAGAAUGGCCAAUUCUAAGACUAGGCCUUAAGCAACUUUGCUUUCACUGCCCCUUGCACUUCUGUCAUUGCCACGAGAAAAACAUGCCAGUG